UGGGUCGAGGUGGGCGUUGURCCACCAAAGCCUGUUCAGCUCGGCUUGGCCAGCUCGCUCCAGCUUCUGAAAUUGAAAAAGUUUGUGUGGAGCACAAGAUUCGAAGAAACUGCUGAGACAAAAUGACAAAGAAAAAUCCACCUUUAUUGGGAGAGGGUGAGUAUUUUGAAGAGUCUGCCCAAAUAGGUCCUGUGAGUGCAUUGUGUAUAAUCAGAAUGUAGCCACAGAUGAAUCCAGGGGCACAUGAAUUUAGUGGUCUUGCAAAGCACGUGCUUGUGCUGGGGACACAGAAAAUGGCCAUGUGUGUUUCUGGUCCCUUGGCACGACCCUCCUGGAUUUUGUGGAGCAUUGGAGCAGGGGCCUGGAGCUGAGCACGGGUGGGAAGURCCAUCUGGGAUGUGGAAUUGGCUGAAGGGGAAUUUGUAAGUCAAGGGCAGACCUGGGAUUGGCUGGUCUGGCAAGAGGGUACUGCUUUUGGGGUGCUUCAAAAUGGGGGUGCUGGGGAAGGGCGGGGGUAAGGUGCAAGUAAAAAAAGGAAUGUGCUCUCCUGUGGACCAGGCUUGGAAAUGACGUUCCUGUCGAUUCGACCUGGUGGGGCUGGGAUAUUACAGAGAAACUGAUACUGGAAGUGGGUGUAUUGUAGGGUAUGGGUGGGACACACUUGGUGUGUUUAGGCUAUGAAAUACAGCCCUACUCUGUUGAUCUCUCAGGCUACAGUGUACAACUCAAUAAACUGAAUUUGCUUCGGCUUUGUUUGUGUUUUUGGCGACUUACCUGUAUAUUAUAAGGAAAACUUCAUGUUCCUAGUAGUGCAUCUCCCUUGUGUAGAGGUACAAUUCAUGUGUGCCACUGRCCCUUCUCAAAAAAGUAAAGAAAUGCACACCACCACUGUUAGGGCUGGUUUAGGAGCAGAUGCCUUCAAUCUGGGUUUAGAUAAUCUCAUGGCACAAAGUCCAUAAAAUCAUUAAGGCCUAAAACCAGAAAGGUUAAAUGGAGUCUGUAGCCCCAGAUGUGAUUUGGUGGGGAAAGCAGGUAAAGGGUUCCCAC
Malurus melanocephalus (red-backed fairy wren) is the source of this 1047-nucleotide long non-coding RNA. RefSeq lists it as uncharacterized. Lineage: Eukaryota; Metazoa; Chordata; Aves; Passeriformes; Maluridae. The transcript is spliced from 4 exons. The record is from RefSeq and is a predicted model, not a curated record.